CUAAUACGUACGGACUGAGAAGACUGGGUAGGGCCUAUGUUGAACAAAGAACAUCUGCCUAACAUGUUUACGAGAAAUUUCAAAAAACCAGAUUGGACAAGUCAGCAAAUGGGGACAAGUUGUGGCGUGGCGCCAACAUCCCAUGUCUACCUGUGAACCAAACGGGGCCUUAAGUUUCAGCGUCAAAAACUGUCAGCGAAAGCUCAGGUUGCUCCCAUUCUUUGCCCCAGGUUU
Long non-coding RNA from Neltuma alba, 234 nucleotides. RefSeq lists it as uncharacterized. The transcript is spliced from 3 exons. The record is from RefSeq and is a predicted model, not a curated record. NCBI's taxonomy places the organism in Eukaryota, Viridiplantae, Streptophyta, Magnoliopsida, Fabales, Fabaceae.